RNAcentral lists this ribosomal RNA (544 nucleotides) under uncultured bacterium. Its description in RNAcentral is "bacterial SSU rRNA". It matches the Rfam family "Bacterial small subunit ribosomal RNA", at positions 776 to 1320 of the family's 1533-position model. The record is from RNAcentral.
UAAAUAGAUACCCCAGGUAGUCCACGCCGUAAACCGAUGAAUACUAGGUGUGGGGGUUUCAACACCUCCGUGCCGCCGCUAACGCAUUAAGUAUUCCGCCUGGGGAGUACGGUCGCAAGAUUAAAACUCAAAGGAAUUGACGGGGACCCGCACAAGUAGCGGAGCAUGUGGUUUAAUUCGAAGCAACGCGAAGAACCUUACCUACACUUGACAUCCCUUGCAUUACUCUUAAUCGAGGAAAUCCCUUCGGGGACAAGGUGACAGGUGGUGCAUGGUUGUCGUCAGCUCGUGUCGUGAGAUGUUGGGUUAAGUCCCGCAACGAGCGCAACCCUUGUCGUUAGUUACUACCAUUAAGUUGAGGACUCUAGCGAGACUGCCUGGGUUAACCAGGAGGAAGGUGGGGAUGACGUCAAAUCAUCAUGCCCCUUAUGUGUAGGGCUACACACGUGCUACAAUGGCUGGUACAGAGAGAUGCAAUACCGUGAGGUGGAGCCAAACUUUAAAACCAGUCUCAGUUCGGAUUGUAGGCUGAAACUCGCCUACA